UUCAUCUUCUCACAAUGAGGCUCCCUGCUCAACUCCCAGGGCUGCUAAUGCUCUGGGUCCCUGGAUCCAAUGGAAAUGCUGUGAUGUCCCAGCCUCCACUCUCCCUGCCCAUCACCCCUGGAGAGCCAGCCUCCAUCUCCUACAGGUCUAGUCACAGCCCCCUUCACAGUAAUGGAUACACCUAUUUGAAUUGGGACCUACAGAAGCCAGGCCAGCCUCCACAGCUCCCAAUUUAUUUGGUUUCCAACCGGGACCCUGGAGUCACAGACAUGUUCAGUGGCAGGGAGUUGGGGACAGAUUUCAUGCUUAAAAUCAGCAGGGUAGAGGCUGAGGAUGUUGGGGUUUAUUAUUGCCAGCAAAACACAUUCUUUAGAUUUGGUUUAGCAGUUACUAGAGUACUUGUACAUUGAUAAGGUUUGGUGAUAUUAAACACUGUUUCCCUUCCCUCCUUUACCUCCCCCUACCACUUUUCACAAGGCAGACCCCUGACCAGGACAGCAGCAGGCACUGUAUUUUUUCCUACUUUUCUCAGGAAGAACACAAAUAAAAGUCAUCACAGUCUAGAUUUUUAAAUUACUAGUUAUGUUCUGGCAAAUGUAUGCAAAAAUAAAGGCCUAGUG
Rhinopithecus roxellana (golden snub-nosed monkey) is the source of this 620-nucleotide non-coding RNA. The record is from the annotation of a RefSeq genome assembly. NCBI's taxonomy places the organism in Eukaryota, Metazoa, Chordata, Mammalia, Primates, Cercopithecidae.